GGUUCUCCAACAAUGGGAGCUCAACUUCUAUAACGGGAGACUCCUUAAAGAAGGUUUAAUGUGAUAAUAACAAGCUGAUUAGUUGAUCAGAAAGCAAAUAUUUUUAUAUUUCUAUAGGAGGCUUUACUCCACUCCACCCCAUCUUUAUAGUGCUUAGUGCUCUUUUGUAGAUACUGAGGAAGAAUAUAGUUCUAAAUGAGACCCAAAAGAUAUUUUUCUCGAGAUGUGAUUGCACAUUCCUAAAUGGCUCACCUAUAUGAGAGCUUCCUUAUAUGGUUGCAGCUAGGAGAUAUGGGCAAAUCCUAGGUGCUCUCACAAACAAUAAGAUAUAUACACAAGGCCA
RNAcentral lists this long non-coding RNA (343 nucleotides) under Elaeis guineensis (African oil palm). Its description in RNAcentral is "long non-coding RNA (EGUI_LNC082328)". Lineage: Eukaryota; Viridiplantae; Streptophyta; Magnoliopsida; Arecales; Arecaceae. The record is from RNAcentral.